This 253-nucleotide ribosomal RNA is filed under the name uncultured bacterium. RNAcentral describes it as "partial 16S ribosomal RNA". It matches the Rfam family "Bacterial small subunit ribosomal RNA", at positions 524 to 776 of the family's 1533-position model. The record is from RNAcentral.
UACGUAGGGGGCAAGCGUUGUCCGGAAUUACUGGGCGUAAAGCGAGUGUAGGUGGUUGUCCAAGUUGGAUGUGAAAGCCUUGAGCUCAACUCAAGAAAUGCAUUCAGGACUGGGCGGCUAGAGGACCGGAGAGGAUAGUGGAAUUCCCAGUGUAGUGGUGAAAUACGUAGAGAUUGGGAAGAACACCAGUGGCGAAGGCGGCUAUCUGGACGGUUUCUGACACUAAGACUCGAAAGCGUGGGGAGCAAACAGG